This is an RNA transcript of Musa acuminata subsp. malaccensis (wild Malaysian banana), 2709 nucleotides long. It is a transcript of the gene named probable inactive receptor kinase At1g48480, with no coding region annotated. NCBI's taxonomy places the organism in Eukaryota, Viridiplantae, Streptophyta, Magnoliopsida, Zingiberales, Musaceae. The record is from RefSeq and is a predicted model, not a curated record.
CACUCUUCUGCUCCUCCUCUGUGUUCCUUCUCAGUCUUUCCCUUUUUCCUAUUCUCUUUCUUUUCUAAAAGAAACAAAGGAGAGGGCGCAGAGCGGCACGGAAAUAGGCAGUGUGUGUGUGCGCGGGGUGCGCGCUUGAUGGGUUUGCUUUAGUUCUUGGGCACUGUGACAGCGCGUGUCGUUGCGGUGAGUACGGUCACCGGCUCCUCCCAUGGCUUCGCCGCUAUGGCUCCGCCUCGUCGCCGGAGCACUCUUGCUGCUGGCCUCCCUCCCCGGCGGGGCCCCAGAUCUGGCGUCCGACGCCGCGGCGCUCCUCGCAUUCCGCGCUGCCGUCGGCCGGUACGCGCUGACCACGUGGAACUCCUCCGCUCCCGGGGCGCCCUGCUCCUGGCUGGGGGUCUCGUGCGAGUCCGGCCGAGUCAACGUGCUCCGCCUCCCCGGGGCCGGCCUCAUUGGACAGAUCCCUGCCGCCGUCGGUAACCUCACCGCCUUACGGACCCUCAGCCUCCGCUUUAACGUCCUCUCCGGUCCUCUCCCCUCGGAGCUCGCCGGCCUUGCCGAGCUCCGCAACCUCUACCUCCAGGGAAACCGCCUCUCCGGCGAGAUCCCGGCCUUCCUCUCCUCCUUGAAGAACCUCGUCCGCCUAAAUCUUGCCGGCAACCAGUUCACUGGCGGGAUCCCUCUGGGGCUCAACAACCUCUCUCGGCUUGGUACGCUUUACCUCGAGAACAAUCGGCUCACCGGCGAGAUUCCGGCCCUCGACCUCGCCAACCUGGUCCAGUUCAACGUGUCCUACAACCAGCUCAACGGAUCCAUACCGGCCAAGCUCCGCUCGCAGCCGGCAACGGCGUUCCUGGCCACGGGUCUCUGCGGCGGCCCCCUCGGGCUGUGCCCCGGCGAGAUCGCGCCGUCUCCAUCGCCGGAGGGUUCCGGCUCCGUGAAUCCCACUGGAGGGGCUGAGAGCAACCACAAGAAGAAGAAACUCUCCGGCGGGGCGAUCGCCGGGAUCGCGAUCGGCGCCGCAGCCUUCUUGCUGAUCGCGCUCGUCGUGCUGAUCCUUCUCUGCCGCGGGAGGAAGGCGCAGUCGUCGGCCGUGGGCGGGAAGCAGAUGGAGAUGGGGGCGGCAGCAGAGCAGAGGGACAACGGUCUAGGCGCAGGUGGAGCGAACGUGAACGGUGGGUCGGCGGCUCCAGCGGCGGCCGCGGGCAAGACCGUGGCGACCGCCGCUGCCUCAGCCGGGGCCAAGAAGCUGGUGUUCUUCGGGGGAGGGCCGAGGGCGUUCGACCUGGAGGACCUGCUGCGGGCGUCGGCGGAGGUGCUGGGGAAGGGCACGUUCGGGACGGCGUACAAGGCGGUGCUCGAGACGGGGGUGACGGUGGCGGUGAAGCGGCUCAAGGACGUGAACUUGGAGGAGAGGGAGUUCAAGGAGAAGAUCGAGACCAUCGGCGCAAUGGACCACCCCAACCUGGUGCCCCUCGUGGCCUACUACUUCAACAAGGAUGAGAAGCUCCUGGUCUACGAUUACAUGCCAAUGGGCAGCCUCUCCGCCCUCUUGCACGGUAACAGAGGAUCCGGUCGAACACCUCUCAACUGGGAAACAAGAACGGGCAUCGCUCUCGCAGCUGCGCAGGGUAUCCAGUACAUCCACUCUACGGGCCCUUCCGCCUCACACGGCAACAUCAAGUCCUCCAACAUCCUCCUCACCAAGUCGUACGACGCCCGUGUGUCCGACCACGGCCUUGCCCUUCUCGCGGGCGCAGCGUCCGCCCCUACCCGCGUCGCAGGAUACCGGGCUCCGGAGGUCACCGACCCCCGCAAGGUUUCCCAGAAGGCCGACGUGUACAGCUUCGGCGUCCUCCUCCUCGAGCUGCUCACGGGCAAAGCCCCUGCGCAGGCCCUUCUGAACGAGGAAGGCGUCGACCUCCCCCGUUGGGUGCAGUCGGUCGUGAAGGAGGAAUGGACCGCCGAGGUGUUCGACGUGGAGCUGCUGAGGUACCAGAACGUGGAGGAGGACAUGGUGCAGCUCCUGCAGCUCGCCAUCGACUGCGUGGCGCAGUAUCCGGACAAGCGGCCCUCGAUGCCCGAGGUGGUGGUCCGCAUCGACGAGAUCUCGAGGUCAAGCCCAGCUUCCUCCUACCGGGACCAGCAGAGCACCCCGCGGAGCGUCGGUGACGACCAGUCCUCCAAGCAGAACGACUCGACGGCCGGAUCGAAUCCUCCCGGUGCCGAUCUCUGAGUCACGCCGGGGAGCAACUACGUACUCGGAGGCCGCGUUCGAUCGAUCCCAAGCAUUAUUUCCCGACUUGCAAUGGCUGCUGGUGGAUUGCUGAUGUGAGAGUCUUCCUCUUGCCCGGAAGAGCUGGAGAAGAUUACAUUCGAUGAUGGAAGGGUGGGUGGUUCCAUGCUCUUCCCAUGAGCUCAAUAAUGUAGUAGUUGUUGUGGGGAAUGAGCUGUGUGCCUGUCUUUAUAUAACAUUAAUUCUCUCUGCUUCGCUGUGUUGGUAUCCAACGACGUUUCGCAUGCAUGCAGCGUUGUGGAUGAGCUGUGACGGUGGAGGCAAAAGCCGAGACCGAAGCGUGUGGCAGAAGAUAUGUUGAUUUGUUUGCAUGAUCCGCUGUCUUUGGGACAGACGGUAUGAUGCGGAGUCUCGUGCGGUGUACGCUAUCAAUAAUUGCAGUGGUGGUCGGCUGUGGGACGCCACGUUUUCUU